This 4763-nucleotide unclassified non-coding RNA is filed under the name Nilaparvata lugens (brown planthopper). RNAcentral's name for it is "uncharacterized LOC111051306, transcript variant X1". Lineage: Eukaryota; Metazoa; Arthropoda; Insecta; Hemiptera; Delphacidae. The record is from RNAcentral.
CCUGUUCCUGUUGCACAGUGCCUGUUGAGUGUUUACAUACGGUAAUUUUGAGUUUUGACUGACAAUAAUAAUUCAACGUUUGAGAUUACAAGUUUUUAACAAUAAAUUGAGCCCCUGUUGAUCGUUGAGGAGACAUCAGAGAAAACUUCAUUCAUUGAACAACAACAUUUUAGAACAUUUUUUUUCAAAUACAGUGUAUACAAUAUUGAUUGCAAAGAUUUGUGAAACUAAGGAAACUACAGUAUGUAUACAAGGAAAGAGGAAUCAAAAAAGGAAAAGGUGCUCAUUGGAAAUCUGCCAGGUACUUUAUUCAGCCUUCGGCCCCUGAAGAUAAUGGGUACGGUAACAGGAAAUUUAUAAAAUUAUCACUUCCAAAGUAUUCAAUUAUUAUUUUUUUUAAUUGACUGGCUCAUGUCUCCAAGCUUCUAAUUUUCAUUUGUUGAUUCGAUCAGGCCUAUACACAAUUCAUUGAGAAUAUAAUUGAUGUAAUUCUGACUUCGUCACUCCGAUUUAACAAAGAUGGCCUCCACAGAAUGGCUUGAACAGUCUAUUGGUAAAAUGGUCGACUUGAGUCAUGAGGUGAUCAUGAAUACUCUAGCUGAACCUGCUCAGCAACCAAUGAAUGAUGACGUCUAUCAUCUAACUUGUAUGAACAUCAUUGGGCGCUUUUCACACAUUUCAGAACGCUCCAAUUUGACUCCACUUGAGCUUGGCAUAAUAGCUGAUUAUUUGCUGUCCACUUAUGGUCCGCUUCCUAAUGAAUUAAUAUCGACGGACAUUUCACCUCCAACUUUGCAUGAAGAACAGUCACAACUUCCACAUGAAAAAUUGGAUUUGGAUAAUGAGUAUGUUUCAGACGAUAUGGAUUUCAAAAUGAGGCUGUUAGAUUCUACCAAUGAAUACAUAUUUGGUACUAUUAAAUUAACAGAAGUAAGAGAAAACAUCAUGAUUAAUAUAAGAGAGCUUGCUUUGACAUUUUUUGGACAAGCUCUCUCGGACAAGGACACACAGCUGACGCAUCUCUCUCUCAGUAAUAGCAAUGUUGCAAGCGGUAUGCUUAUUGCAUUUUUGAAAUAUUUGCCAGAGUCCCGAAUUGUUUCUCUUAAUUUACCAAAAAUAUUAGAGAGAAAGAUUUUUUACUAUGUAGAUGAUUCAAGUAAUGUCCGUGUUUAUGGUAGGCGUGAUGAUGAUGAAUUUCAUUAUUAUGAUCGUUAUUAUUAUAAUAAUGAUGAUGAUGGUGAUGAAGAUUAUGAUAGAGGUUGCUUCAAUAAGCUGUACAAAUUAUGCUGUGGUUCUAACAGGAGUAUAAGUUAUACAUCAUCGGAAGUUGAUCAUAGUGAUAAAUCUAAGGAUGAACCAGAAGUUCAAAGAAAUAAUUGCUUACAGUAUCUUGCCUCAAUAUUAAAAGACACUGAAAUUAAUUCCCUAGAUUUGAAUGGUAAUGCUAUCAACCUGGAAAUGCUCUCUUGUUUUCUGGAAGGUACAAAAAUAUCUUCUCUUGGUUUAAGAGGGUGUAGGGUCAAGAGUAAUGGUUUAAACAGUUUGGCAAGUGUUUUGAAAAGUACAAACAUCACUUCCAUAGAUCUAAGCGAAAAUUUAUUAGAUUGUAAGAGAUUGAAAAUAUUUGUGGAAGGUUUAGAGGGUACAAAAAUUACAUCUUUGAACCUUAGCUCAAAUAAAAUAGGUGUUGAUGGACUGACUUGUUUGGGAGCAGUUUUGAAAAACACAAAUAUCAUAACCAUUGAUCUCAGUAGAAAUGGGUUGAACUGUGAUUGCUUGAAGGCAUUUGCGCCACAUCUGGUGAAUACAAAUGUUACCUCUCUGAAUUUGAGGACCAACCAGAUAGGCAUUGAUGGUGUGAAAAGCCUAGCACAUGUUUUGAAGGACACACUGAUCGAAACAAUUGAUUUGGGAGAGAAUAUCCUGAGUUAUGAAAGUGUCAAUGUAUUGGCAAAUUGCUUGUUGGACAAAAAAAUCAAAUCACUUUGUUUGAGAGGGAAUGAUCUAGACAUUGAUCGGCUCAAUUGCUUGACAAGUGUUCUGAAACAAUCAAUCAUCACUUCACUGGAUGUUGGCAAAUGCAAUUUGCAGAGUGACAGUGUGAAGUUGUUGGCACCGGAGUUGGUGGGCUCACACAUUCAGUCACUCAAUUUGAGUCAUAAUUACAUAGGUGUUGAUGGCAUCAAUUCUCUGGCUGAUAUCUUGAAUGACACUGACAUCACCUCCCUAGACCUUAGCCAUAAUGGUGUGGAAAAUAUAAAUAUCUGUUUGAAGAUAUUUGCAUGUUUAAAUGCAAGAGAUUCUAAGAUUGAUUAUCUUAGAAUGGGGGAGAAUAAAAUAGAUUACGAAUAUUUAGCAAAUAUUUUGAAGGACUGUAACUUUACUUCAAUUGAUCUUGAUAGCACCACAAACAAUAUAGGCUUGGAGAAAUUUACAUCAAAUUUAGAUAUUUCAAACAUUAGUUCUCUGAAUUUGAGUGGAAAUCAUUGUGGCGAGACUCUUCAGAAACUAGCUUCUGUUCUCAAAUUCACUUCAAUCACCUCAUUGAAUCUCGCAAAAUAUUAUUUACCAUGCAAUAGCCUGACAGAUCUACUAUUGUGCCUGCCUGAUACGAAAAUCACAUCUCUCAAUCUCAGUGAGAACAAUAUUUGUGGUAAUAUAUUUUAUUUGGCAUCUGUUUUGAAAUAUACUAAAAUCACUUCUAUCGACCUAAGCGGUUGUGGAAUAGGCGAAGAUUAUGAUGAAAUCAAUAUGGUUCAGAUGUUGAUCGACUCCAGUGACACAUCACUUGAUUUGAGAUAUAAAUGUCUUUGUUAUUUCAGUAUAUGUUACUUAGCAAGUCAACUGCGACACACAAGAAUAAUGUACCUCAACCUAACUGGCAAUGAAAUAGUAUACAAUGGUAUGAAAUAUCUUUCUCAGGGACUUUUGGGCUCACAAAUUGUUGCACUUGAUCUCAGUGGAGACAAAAUAGAUUGUUCGGGUGUUUAUUAUCUAGCUGAAGUUCUCAGGAACACUCAAAUUUCUUUAUUGAAUCUAUCAAAUAAUAAAAUCGCCUGCAAGGGUAUCAGAUAUUUGGCAGAGGGCCUUGUGGGCAGUAGUAUCUCAUCACUGAACCUAUCAAACAAUAAAAUCGCCUGCGAAGGUCUCAAGUAUUUGACAGAGCGCUGUCAGUUGCAAUCGCUAGAUUUGAGUAAGAAUCUUAUUAAAGAUCAAGGUAUCCAAUACUUGGCUGAAAAUGUUGCGAAUAUUGACAUUUUCAAGAUAAAUUUGUGUAAAAAUAUUAUUGGAAAGCAAGUAGCAUAUCAGUUGUUAGAUGGUGUGAAAAGAAAAAGAAUGAAUCCAUUGAGCAAAGUUUUCCUUGAUGUUACCAGUGAUUUAACUAGUUAUAUCAGUUUGUACAAAUAUCCAGGCUGCCUUGUUGAAAUCAGUGAACCGUGUUCCAGAGAAGAUGUAAAUUGUCUUAUUGACAAUAUCCAUCGGACACUGGGUAGGCCUAUAAUAACCAAAUUGAUUGUGUACGGAGAACAUUUUGAACAUUUGUUGGGACAAUUUGACAACAUUGACAUCACAGAACUUGAAAUCGAACACUACUUUGAGGAACAUCAUAUAUCUCCCAUACUUGUCAAUAGUAAUAUUGCUGUGCUGAAUUUGGAUUGGGAUGAAGGUAAGAUAUUGUCGAAAGAAAAACUCAUUUUGAAGGUGAAAGCUAUUUCAUUGAAAAUUAAAACUGAAUCUUUCAGCGGGCUAACAAACUGCGGUUUCAAAUCUGCACUGAAUAAAAGUAAUAUUGUGUACCUAGAUUUGAGUAAUAACAAGCUAAAAGAUGAUGGUUUUGAGAUAUUGGUUGAAUUGUUGAAGGAUUCCAAAAUAAUAUCUUUGAAUUUGAGCAAUAAUUCUUUGACUGAAAGUUGUGUUGUACUAUUAGCCAAAGUUCUUGCUCAAACCAGAAUCACGUACAUAGAUUUGCAUGGGAAUGGAAUCUGCUAUUUAGGAAAUGCAUACUCAUACCUUGUCAAAGCUGCUUGCGAGUCUAGUGUUUGUUGGAUUUCUUUGGAUCAGAAUGAAAUUGAAGAGGGUUCACAAGAAAACAUAGAACUAUUACAUUUACCUUACAUUGUUCCACGAAAUGAUACACCAAUCGAAUUUCAAAUUCGCUUCUUGUUCAGAGAGUUGGUCUCAGUGGACUCAGCUGGUGACCAAUUCGAAUUCAUUGUUCCUCGCGAUGACUCAGACAUCACCAUCACCAUCAGCCACUACCCACUUCUGUUCAAAUAUCUUCCAGAAUACAAAAUGCACAUCUAUGACCACUUCUACAUGCAGAGUAUGAGAAGACAUGACAUUCACGUGCUGAAAAGAGUAAACAGUUUUGUCGAAAAUAUGAAAACUAAAUUUAAUAAGUUUAUUGAAGACAAAAUGUUGCAAUUGGCAGAGAAAUUUGGCCACGAUAGUUUUGUGAGACUUGUUAAGGAAUGUGAUCGUUUAGAUUUGUCUGAUUUUGUUAUUAUGCUACUGUGCCAUAGACCAUUGUAUUAUGUGGACAGCGAAGAGAAUUUCUUGCAUCCGUUCAUCUACAAAAUGUUGCAUAAAUAUGAGUUGCCAUUGUACAAUGCAAUCUAUGAACCGAAUAAGAAACAUCAAAUAAUAUCUUACUUUGAGGAGCAUUCAGAUUUUGAUUGCUCUCGUGAGAUUAUUGAUUUACUCAGUUUAUUGUAAAUUUGACAUGUAUUGUUUACUAAUUAAUAAUUAUAAUUAAACGAAAU